RNAcentral lists this ribosomal RNA (476 nucleotides) under uncultured bacterium. RNAcentral describes it as "bacterial SSU rRNA". It matches the Rfam family "Bacterial small subunit ribosomal RNA", at positions 335 to 801 of the family's 1533-position model. The record is from RNAcentral.
ACUCCUACGGGAGGCAGCAGUAGGGAAUCUUCCACAAUGGGCGCAAGCCUGAUGGAGCAACACCGCGUGAGUGAAGAAGGGUUUCGGCUCGUAAAGCUCUGUUGUUAAAGUAAGAACACGUAUGAGAGUAACUGUUCAUACGUUGACGGUAUUUAACCAGAAAGUCACGGCUAACUACGUGCCAGCAGCCGCGGUAAUACGUAGGUGGCAAGCGUUAUCCGGAUUUAUUGGGCGUAAAGAGAGUGCAGGCGGUUUUCUAAGUCUGAUGUGAAAGCCUUCGGCUUAACCGGAGAAGUGCAUCGGAAACUGGAUAACUUGAGUGCAGAAGAGGGUAGUGGAACUCCAUGUGUAGCGGUGGAAUGCGUAGAUAUAUGGAAGAACACCAGUGGCGAAGGCGGCGUACCUGGUCUCGCAACUGACGCUGAGACUCGAAAGCAUGGGUAGCGAACAGGAUUAGAUACCCUGGUAGGAUAGCG